UACUUAUCACCCUUGGGAAAAAUAAACCAAUAUGUAUUGGCGGUCUUCACUCACUUAGAGAAACUCGCUUUAUAAUCGUAAACACCCGCUAACCCUAACUUUAUUUAACUAAGCCUAUAUACCGCCGUUCAGAGUUAAACACAAAACAAAACCCAAACAAUCAGUACAAAUUCAAAAUCAGGUCAAGGUGUAGCCAAUAAUAAAGAAAAAGUAAGUUACAUUAAAAAUAAUUUAAGGAUUUCUAAUAAAAAUAUAGAAUAAAAAAGAAUUUAUCUGUACGUAAUAGUUAAAAUCUAAUACUGAACACAACAAUGAAGAUGC
RNAcentral lists this ribosomal RNA (321 nucleotides) under Pholcus sp. DNA100446110. RNAcentral's name for it is "partial 12S ribosomal RNA". Lineage: Eukaryota; Metazoa; Arthropoda; Arachnida; Araneae; Pholcidae. The record is from RNAcentral.